Molecule: ribosomal RNA, 253 nt
Filed under: uncultured bacterium
Lineage: Bacteria
Description: partial 16S ribosomal RNA
Rfam family: Bacterial small subunit ribosomal RNA
Source: RNAcentral
UACGUAGGGACCGAGCGUUGUCCGGAAUCAUUGGGCGUAAAGGGUGCGUAGGCGGUCGGGUAAGUCUGGCGUGAAAUCUCCAAGCCUAACUUGGAAACUGCGUUGGAUACUAUCCGGCUCGAGGAAUGGAGGGGAGACUGGAAUACUUGGUGUAGCAGUGAAAUGCGUAGAUAUCAAGUGGAACACCAGUGGCGAAGGCGAGUCUCUGGACAUUUCCUGACGCUGAGGCACGAAAGCCAGGGGAGCAAACGGG